Molecule: ribosomal RNA, 492 nt
Filed under: uncultured bacterium
Lineage: Bacteria
Description: partial 16S ribosomal RNA
Rfam family: Bacterial small subunit ribosomal RNA
Source: RNAcentral
AGUGAACGCUGGCGGUAGGCCUAACACAUGCAAGUCGAACGGCAGCACAGUAAGAGCUUGCUCUUACGGGUGGCGAGUGGCGGACGGGUGAGGAAUACAUCGGAAUCUACUUUUUCGUGGGGGAUAACGUAGGGAAACUUACGCUAAUACCGCAUACGACCUACGGGUGAAAGCAGGGGAUCUUCGGACCUUGCGCGAUUGAAUGAGCCGAUGUCGGAUUAGCUAGUUUGCGGGGUAAAGGCCCACCAAGGCGACGAUCCGUAGCUGGUCUGAGAGGAUGAUCCGCCACACUGGAACUGAGACACGGUCCCGACUCCGACGGGAGGCAGCAGUGGGGACUAUUGCACAAUGGGCGCAAGCCUGAUCCAGCCAUACCGCGUGGAUGAAGAAGGCCUUCGGGUUGUAAAGCCCUUUUGUUGGGAAAGAAAAGCAGCAGGUUAAUACCCCGCUGUUCUGACGGUACCCAAAGAAUAAGCACCGGCUAACUUCGUG